CAAUAGCGUAUAUUAAAGUUGUUGCAGUUAAAAAGCUCGUAGUUGGAUUUGUGGCGUACGGUGUGUUCCGGGCACUUGUUGUCUGAGUAACCUGCUGUUGCCAUCCUUGGGUGGGACCUGUGUGGCAUUAGGUUGUCGUGCAGGGGAUGCCCAUCAUUUACUGUGAAAAAAUUAGAGUGUUCAAAGCAGGCUUAUGCCGUUGAAUAUAUUAGCAUGGAAUAAUGAGAUAGGACUUUUUUGCUAUUUUGUUGGUUUGCGCAAAGAGGUAAUGAUUAAUAGGGACAGUUGGGGGUAUUCGUAUUCCAUUGUCAGAGGUGAAAUUCUUGGAUUUUUGGAAGACGAACUACUGCGAAAGCAUUUACCAAGGAUGUUUUCAUUAA
RNAcentral lists this ribosomal RNA (380 nucleotides) under uncultured eukaryote. Its description in RNAcentral is "partial 18S ribosomal RNA". It matches the Rfam family "Eukaryotic small subunit ribosomal RNA", at positions 592 to 976 of the family's 1831-position model. The record is from RNAcentral.